This 496-nucleotide ribosomal RNA is filed under the name uncultured bacterium. RNAcentral describes it as "partial 16S ribosomal RNA". It matches the Rfam family "Bacterial small subunit ribosomal RNA", at positions 30 to 523 of the family's 1533-position model. The record is from RNAcentral.
AUUGAACGCUGGCGGAAUGCUUUACACAUGCAAGUCGAACGGUAGAGGGGGCAACCCCUCGAGAGUGGCGAACGGGUGAGCAAUAUAUCGGAACGUGCCCAGUCGUGGGGGAUAACGUAGCGAAAGUUACGCUAAUACCGCAUACGAUCUAAGGAUGAAAGCGGGGGAUCGCAAGACCUCGCGCGAUUGGAGCGGCCGAUAUCAGAUUAGGUAGUUGGUGGGGUAAAGGCUCACCAAGCCAACGAUCUGUAGCUGGUCUGAGAGGACGACCAGCCACACUGGAACUGAGACACGGUCCAGACUCCUACGGGAGGCAGCAGUGGGGAAUUUUGGGCAAUGGACGCAAGUCUGAUCCGGCCAUUCCGCGUGCAGGAUGAAGGCCCUCGGGUUGUAAACUGCUUUUGUACGGAACGAAAAGGUCUCUCUUAAUACGGGGGGCUCAUGACGGUACCGUAAGAAUAAGCACCGGCUAACUACGUGCCAGCCGCCGCUGUAA